AAUAGAUACCCGGGUAGUCCACGCCGUAAACGAUGAGUGCUAAGUGUUAGAGGGUUUCCGCCCUUUAGUGCUGCAGCUAACGCAUUAAGCACUCCGCCUGGGGAGUACGGUCGCAAGACUGAAACUCAAAGGAAUUGACGGGGGCCCGCACAAGCGGUGGAGCAUGUGGUUUAAUUCGAAGCAACGCGAAGAACCUUACCAGGUCUUGACAUCCCACUGACCGGUAUAGAGAUAUACCUUUCCCUUCGUGGACAGUGGUGACAGGUGGUGCAUGGUUGUCGUCAGCUCGUGUCGUGAGAUGUUGGGUUAAGUCCCGCAACGAGCGCAACCCUUGAUCUUAGUUGCCAGCAUUUAGUUGGGCACUCUAAGGUGACUGCCGGUGACAAACCGGAGGAAGGUGGGGAUGACGUCAAAUCAUCAUGCCCCUUAUGACCUGGGCUACACACGUGCUACAAUGGAUGGUACAAAGGGCUGCAAGACUGCGAAGUCAAGCCAAUCCCAUAAAACCAUUCUCAGUUCGGAUUGCAGG
RNAcentral lists this ribosomal RNA (529 nucleotides) under uncultured bacterium. Its description in RNAcentral is "bacterial SSU rRNA". It matches the Rfam family "Bacterial small subunit ribosomal RNA", at positions 777 to 1304 of the family's 1533-position model. The record is from RNAcentral.